GAUCAUGGCUCAGGAUGAACGCUGGCGGCGUGCCUAACACAUGCAAGUCGAACGGAGUCGAUUUGGAAAAUCCUUCGGGAUUGGAAUUCUCGACUUAGUGGCGGACGGGUGAGUAACGCGUGAGCAAUCUGCCUUUAAGAGGGGGAUAACAGUCGGAAACGGCUGCUAAUACCGCAUAAAGCAUCAAAUUCGCAUGUUUUUGAUGCCAAAGGAGCAGUCCGCUUUUA
RNAcentral lists this ribosomal RNA (227 nucleotides) under uncultured bacterium. RNAcentral describes it as "partial 16S ribosomal RNA". It matches the Rfam family "Bacterial small subunit ribosomal RNA", at positions 15 to 223 of the family's 1533-position model. The record is from RNAcentral.